RNAcentral lists this ribosomal RNA (484 nucleotides) under uncultured bacterium. RNAcentral describes it as "partial 16S ribosomal RNA". It matches the Rfam family "Bacterial small subunit ribosomal RNA", at positions 30 to 507 of the family's 1533-position model. The record is from RNAcentral.
AUUGAACGCUGGCGGCAGGCCUAACACAUGCAAGUCGAGCGGAUGAAGGGAGCUUGCUCCUGGAUUCAGCGGCGGACGGGUGAGUAAUGCCUAGGAAUCUGCCUGGUAGUGGGGGAUAACGUCCGGAAACGGGCGCUAAUACCGCAUACGUCCUGAGAGAGAAAGUGGGGGAUCUUCGGACCUCUCGCUAUCAGAUGAGCCUAGGUCGGAUUAGCUAGUUGGUGGGGUAAAGGCCUACCAAGGCGACGAUCCGUAACUGGUCUGAGAGGAUGAUCAGUCACACUGGAACUGAGACACGGUCCAGACUCCUACGGGAGGCAGCAGUGGGGAAUAUUGGACAAUGGGCGAAAGCCUGAUCCAGCCAUGCCGCGUAUGUGAAGAAGGUCUUCGGAUUGUAAAGCACUUUAAGUUGGGAGGAAGGGCAGUAAGUUAAUACCUUGCUGUUUUGACGGUACCAACAGAAUAAGCACCGGCUAACUUCGUG